RNAcentral lists this long non-coding RNA (2203 nucleotides) under Pelobates cultripes (western spadefoot toad). Lineage: Eukaryota; Metazoa; Chordata; Amphibia; Anura; Pelobatidae. The record is from RNAcentral.
GGUUUAAUAUAUAUUUAUUACAUAUUCUUGACACACAAGAGAAUUUGUAGAUUUCAGAUAUAUUUUGAAAAUGUUUACAAAUCACAAUAAUACAAAUCAGAUGUUUUUUUUUUUAAAUUAACCCCUUUGUCUUCAUUAUCUAUGAAGAGCGUGCCUAGCUAUAUUUAUUAAAUGUAAUAUUUAUGGAUAAAAGAAAGAUUAAAAUCUAUUUUCACUGUUUGAUGAAACACAGAAUAACAUUCCAUUUUUGUUUUACAUGGUAUCCAUGAAUUAUAUUACAAAAUAUUUAAAUUAAUUUCAAGUUUAUUGGUUUAAACUAUUUAUUGUAAGAGGUUUAUGCAAAAAGAAUUUAUACAGAAUACAUCAAAAAUCAAUUUAAUCUUUACUUUCUACUGAGCAACACUGAAUGUGAUGUGUGAACAUAUACUGAAAAAUAAAAAAUAAAGUCAAAAUUAGAUUUUUAUAGUACAUUUUUAAAUAUGUUUUUGUAUAAUAUAAGGAUUUUUUUUCUCCCAGGGUUUUUAAACUACAAUAAUUUUAUACCACGACACAGAGACGCACAUAUUGCUUCAAAUACAAAUCCUUUCAUAAUAAUUAUACCUUGAUUUGAAGACUAACGCCAAUUAUUUCAUGUUUUAUCAGAUAUGGGUAAAAACAUACGUCAGAGAUUAGUUUUUUUUUAACUAUUUGCAGUAAAUAAACAAUGCUUAUAUUUACAUGAAAAGCCUACCAUCCUCUUUUCUUGCGUGCAAGAAUGCAGUACAAAUUAUUCUCUGUUUUAUUGGUUGUGAAUUAAAAAAAAAAAUCUAAAUAUGAAUUACCUGUCCUUUGGCAUAUAUAUGGGUCAUCUUUAAAGUAUUAUUUUUUAUUAUCAAAGGAAAUUGAGCACCAAAAAAAUUUAAAUACAAAUAAAUUACUUCUGCAUGCAAACAUAAAUAAUAAUUAUGAAAAUGUAGGCACCCUAUGGUUGCAUGGCUGACAAAGACUCAUUUCAUCAUGCCUGGACAGUAUUUUCAUACCUACAUCUGAGUUACACAGUAAUGUCUGUGUUAAGAAGGAAGUAUGUUUAGUUACAGAUUGCCUUGCAGUAAUUCUUUAUUUUCAUAUACUAGUCAGAUUGGAUCAGAUUGCUGGACCAUCUUUCCAACACAGGGUGCUUAGGAGUUCUUGUGUCUUGGGUCCUUCAAUAAACCUCUAUACGGCUUCCCUCCAUCCUGUGUUGCAAUUAGUUGGUGUCAAUAAUAAAUGCAAUUAAGUGGUAGUGCUAGAAUCAAUAUACAUUACACUAUCAAAGCUUUUUUAAGAUUCAACUGAGGAAAAAAUAUAAAUAUGAAUUAUUAAAGUGACGUUUUACUGUGACUACGUAGAAGAUGGGUUAUUGUAAGUUCUAGGGCUGUGUUAUAAAUUCCAUUACAUUCUGUUAACACCUAACAGCCAACAUGUUCUUAUUAAUUUAUACAAGAUCAUGUAGUAAAUGUAAAAUACUCUGUACUAUAACAUUCCAACCAAUUUUUUUUUAAUUCGAUUUACUUAUAUAAAUGAGGACACAAUGGAGCUAUUUAUUGGCCCUAACAAGGUUAAAUGAGUGUGUAACAUGCAGGACUCUUUAAAACAACACCAACUACAAUAAACCAUGUACCACUCGAUCACAUAACAUCGUUCAGAUAAAAGGUAUAAUCACAAAGACAAAGUCUGUUUAAUUUGACAUAUUAGACGAAAUAACAUUUUAUGGAACAUUACUUGACAAUUCAAAUAUUUGUUUUAAAUGAAAUAGAUCAUAUAUUUGUGAAAGAAAAUAAAAAAUAAAAUUUGAGAAUGAAUAUUUCACCGCUCAUAAACGGAAAAUGUAAACCAAUAAGACUAACCUCACUUUUCCAGUAUCAAGCCAAAGGUAGUAACCUUCAUAGUAUUGCUUUUUGGGCCUACCUGUAAAAUUUCUCUUUGUUUAGUAAAUAUUUGUUUUGGAAUCUAUCUAAUAAACUAGCUUUCCUUGGGAGGCACAUUAGUCAUGCAUCCACAGGUAUUUGGAUAUAUACAUUUUAAAAAAUCUUUUAAGAAUAAAACUUUAGAAGAUUUAAUUCAGUUGUUAUAAUGCUAUGUUUUGACUCAGGCUAGGAUCAUAGCAUUAGCUUGAAAACAUGUUCUUCAGCUGUAAAACUAGCUCAAUAAUCUAUUCUUCAUUAAUAACGCAUACCAAUAUAAU